Molecule: transfer RNA, 72 nt
Filed under: Vicugna pacos (alpaca)
Lineage: Eukaryota; Metazoa; Chordata; Mammalia; Artiodactyla; Camelidae
Also listed under: 1 other name
Rfam family: tRNA
About the family: Transfer RNA (tRNA) molecules are approximately 80 nucleotides in length. Their secondary structure includes four short double-helical elements and three loops (D, anti-codon, and T loops). Further hydrogen bonds mediate the characteristic L-shaped molecular structure. tRNAs have two regions of fundamental functional importance: the anti-codon, which is responsible for specific mRNA codon recognition, and the 3' end, to which the tRNAs corresponding amino acid is attached (by aminoacyl-tRNA synthetases). tRNAs cope with the degeneracy of the genetic code in two manners: having more than one tRNA (with a specific anti-codon) for a particular amino acid; and 'wobble' base-pairing, i.e. permitting non-standard base-pairing at the 3rd anti-codon position.
Source: Rfam by way of RNAcentral
GAGGGUAUAGCUCAGUGGUAGAGUGCUUGCCUAGCAUGCACAAGGUCCUGGAUUCAAUCCCCAGUACCUCCC